Oncorhynchus tshawytscha (Chinook salmon) is the source of this 3355-nucleotide long non-coding RNA. NCBI's taxonomy places the organism in Eukaryota, Metazoa, Chordata, Actinopteri, Salmoniformes, Salmonidae. The record is from Ensembl.
AAGUCUCUAAGAGUGAUUACAGCUGUGAGUCUUUCUGGGUAAGUCUCUAAGAGUGAUUACAGCUGUGAGUCUUUCUGGGUAAGUCUCUAAGAGCUUUGCACACCUGGAUUGUACAAUAUUUGCCCAUUAUUCUUUAAACAAUUCUUCAAGCUCUGUCAAGUUGAUUGUUGAUCAUUAUUAGAUAACCAUAUUCAAGUCUUUCCAUAGAUCUUCAAGCCGAUUUAAGUCAAAACUGUAACUAGACCACUCAGGAAUAUUCAAUAUCUUCUUGGUAAGUAACUAAAGUGUAGAUUUGGCCUUGUUUUAGGUUAUUGUCCUUCUGAAAGGCGAAUUCAUCUCCUCAUUGUCUAUUGGAACACAGACUGAACCAGACUUUCCUCUAGGAUUUUGGCUGUGCUUAUAGCUGUCUACCGUUUAUUUUUAUCCUAAUAACUCCCUAGUCCUUGCCAAUGACAAGCAUACCCAUAACAUGAUGCAGCCACCGCCAUGCUUGAAAAUAUGAAGUGGUACUGAGUGAUGUGUUGUGUUGGAUUUGCCCCAAACAAAACGCUUUAUUCAGGACAAAAAGUUAAUUUCUUUGCCGAAAUGUUUUCAGUAUUACUUAAGUGCCUUGUUGCAAACAGGAUGCAUGUUUUGGAGUAUUUUUAUUCUGUACAGGCUUUUUUAAAUCUGUCAUUUAGGUUAGUAUUAUGGAGUAACUAUGGAGUAACUACAAUGUUUAUCCAUCCUCAGUUGUUUUCUCCUAUCACAGUCAUUACACUCUGUAACUGUUUUAAGGUCACCAUUGGCUUCAUGGUGAAAAUCCUGAGCGGUUUCCUUCCUCUCCGGCAACUGAGUUAGGAAGGACGUCUGUAUCUUUGUAGCGACUGGGUGUAUUGAUACACCAUCCAAAGCCUAAUUAUAACUUCACCUUGCUCAAAGGGAUAUUACACAUUUUACCCAUCUACCAACCGGUGCCCUUCUUUGCGAGGCAUUGAAAAAUCUCCUUGGUCUUUGUGGUUGAAUAUGUGUUUGAAAUUCACUGCUCGAUUGAGGGACCUUACAAUUAUCUGUAUGUGUUGGGGUACAGAGAUGAGGUAGUCAUUUAAAAAUCAUGUUAACCAAUAUUAUUGAACACGGAAUGAGUCCAUGCAACUUAUUAUGAGAUUUGUUAAGCACACUUUUACUCCUGAACUUAUUUAGGCUUACCAUAAAGGGGUUGAAUACUUAUUGACUCAAGACAUUUCAGCUUAAAAUGUUUUAUUAAUAAAUAAAAAAUUAGACUAACAAAAUUCCACUUUGACAUUAUGGGGUAUUGCGUGUAGAUCAGGUAUUGUGUAUUACAUUGUAAUUCAGACUGUAAACCAUUUAAAAUUCAGACUGUAAACCAUUUUAAAAUCAGACUGUAAACCAUUUUAAAAUCAGACUGUACACCAUUUUAAAAUCAGACUGUACACCAUUUUAAAAUCAGACUGUAAACCAUUUUAAAUUCAGACUGUAAACCAUUUUAAAAUCAGACUGUAAACCAUUUUAAAUUCAGUCUGUAAACCAUUUUAAAUUCAGGCUGUAACAACACAAUGUGGGAGAAGUUAAAAAGGUGUGAAUCCUUUCUGAAGGCCACUGUACAUACAACCGUUGCUAUGGGACCAAGAACAUUGCUACAGUACUGUGUUGUUUAUAGCACACUUAUUUAUACUGUAUCACACUGUAGAUAUAUGCCACUCAGAAAGCAUGCAGGACAUUAUUAAGGUCAUUACGGUAAGAUUAUAAAUUAACCAUAUGAAAUAAAGAUGAGAGGAAUAUUAAAACAGGGAUUUUACCACUGAGGAAGUCACGUGGUCUGUAUGACUAAUUUGGACUAGAUAUAUACCUUAUUCAUCACUGACUCCAUCCAAUCUACGUCCCACAUAAAGUAUUCUAUUGUGGACCCUUCAAUUUCUACCCUACUCAGUGAUAUUCUGAUAUAACAAUGUAAUAUUUAAGUCCGGAACAGACUAUCCUAAGGCUUUGUGAACUUUUGAGCGCUGUGCUUUAAUAUGCAAAAAACAGGUUACUAUACAAUACAUUGUCCUGACUGACACUGCUGUAUCCAUCACUGAUAUCCAUUCACAUCUUAAUAACUGCCAAAUACAUUACACUACAUUUUGUUUGGUCUGGAAAUGACUUUUGUAAAACUGUGUUGUCUGUCACCUUAAAAAAAAAAAAGACUUGAAAAGUGAUUAAAGAUCCAGGGUGAAUGUCGGAUGUGUUGUUGUGGUUAUAGUGAGCUGUUUGUCAAAUGGCAUCCUACUCGUCAUACUGUCUAGUGCACUACUUUUGACCAGGGCCCAUGAGCUCAGGGUCCAUAGGGUUAGGGCCCAUAGAGGUCAGGGCCCAUAGAGGUCAGGGCCCAUAGGGUUAGGGCCCAUAGAGGUCAGGGCCCAUAGGGUUAGGGCCCAUAGAAGUCAGGGCCCAUAGAGGUCAGGGCCCAUAGAGGUCAGGGCCCAUAGAGGUUAGGGCCCAUAGAGGGCAGGGCCCAUAGGGUUAGGGCCCAUAGAGGUCAGGGCCCAUAGGGUUAGGGCCCAUAGAGGUCAGGGCCCAUAGAGGUCAGGGCCCAUAGGGUUAGGGCCCAUAGAGGUCAGGGCCCAUAGAGGUCAGGGCCCAUAGGGUUAGGGCCCAUAGGGUUAGGGCCCAUAGAGGUCAGGGCCCAUAGGGUUAGGGCCCAUAGGGUUAGGGCCCAUAGAGGUCAGGGCCCAUAGAGGUCAGGGCCCAUAGGGUUAGGGCCCAUAGAGCUCAGGGCCCAUAGGGUUAGGGCCCAUAGGGUUCAGGUCAAAAGUAGUGCACUACAUGGGGAAUAAGUAGGGUGCCACCUGGGGGACACAAUUCAUGUUGAAGUAGAUGGUUUCCUUCAGAGCUCUGGUCCUGUAUCUCUCCUUAGCCCGAAAAGCAACUCUGUUUUCUAUUGAAGUUUGUAAAAUAAGCGCUUUGAAAUAAAAUAACAAAUGAUAUCUCAUACUCUAGCCUGCUCUGGAAAUGUUUAAAAAUGCAAUUAUCGAUGAAUGAAAGCUUGCAUUACAUUACCCCAUUGAUUAAAGAUUAUAUUACUGAGAAUAGAUUUUUUCAUGUCAAUUGACUUCUUAACUUCGCAUGUUUCCCAAAUGGCACCCUAUUCUCUACAUAGGGCACUACUUUUGACUAGAGCACUAUGGCCCCUGGUUAAAAGUAGUGCACUUUGGGAAUAGGGUGCCAUUUGGGUUGCUGCCCAUUAAAUAAGCCUUGUGUUUUGAUUGUGUAACUGAAGGUCAGGGCUGUAGUUGAUCCCUGGACUAGUGGGUCUCAUCUUUACAAGCAUUUUGCUACACUCGCAAUAAUCAUUUGCCAACCAUUUAUAUGUGAC